Bombus impatiens (common eastern bumble bee) is the source of this 925-nucleotide long non-coding RNA. RefSeq lists it as uncharacterized. The transcript is spliced from 3 exons. The record is from RefSeq and is a predicted model, not a curated record. Lineage: Eukaryota; Metazoa; Arthropoda; Insecta; Hymenoptera; Apidae.
UUAAAGAGCAGACAAAUUGAUUUAUACAUAGAACAUUGGGACAGGCUUGGAAAGUUUCACGUACAACAUACGUACAAAUUUCCACCGUAUGAGAAACGAUAUUUACGAAACCAGUCCAUUGUCGUUUGACAGAAAACAUCCGGUAGCAUUAACAAGAUUGCGGAUCAUCUAAAAAUUGUAAGCAUGCUUACCUACUUAACAACGACGACCAGCCACUGCGUAACAGAUGAAACGAAAUAAACUCGAUUGAACGCGUGGUUGUAUCUUGUCCGGAAUAUCAACGUAGGAUGUACCAUCAGUAAUGAUCAACGAAAGUCCUAAAGAAGUGACUCAAAUUGCGAAUUCGUGCUCAAGUGUAUUGAAAUUCUCGAAACACCUUCGAAUUGCUUUUUUAAUCUAACGUGAUGUUAUUAUAUUUAACUGUGAUCUUACGUCGAUUCGCGUGAUUUCCAAUGACUGAAAUUGAUCGGUGGAUGCAACAGAGAAAGAAAUUAAAAGAAAAAGAAAAAAAUUCUAUUCAAUAUUUGCACGCUUCGAAACACUCACAUGUGUAUAGAGAUCUUGGUCGUUCGAAGGCAAGCUGGAUUGAGAUAGCAACGACAGGCAGCUAUUAAGGUCAACAACGGAUUUCAGGAAAAAUCGAUAGACCGGAUAGAACGACCCUCGAUGGAUAUCGGCCUGUUUAGAAUCAAGGGCUGCAUAGAAGAAGCGAACAAGAUCAGCCUGCUGUGAAGUGUCAAAAACUACUCGUGGCUGGCAGCCAAUAAAGCAACAAAAGAGGGAAAGCUGGAAAUAGCUCGGCUACCAGAAAACAAUAAAGCAGUUGAGGCAUUAUGCAAUGAAAAUCUCGUUUUACUUAAACAGCGUUACCGAAAUCUUACAAUGUAGGCGGAUAAAGAUGGAUAAACAUUGUAACCAAAGCGAU